This is an RNA transcript of Cucumis sativus (cucumber), 2165 nucleotides long. RefSeq lists it as uncharacterized. The record is from RefSeq and is a predicted model, not a curated record. The transcript has 15 exons. NCBI's taxonomy places the organism in Eukaryota, Viridiplantae, Streptophyta, Magnoliopsida, Cucurbitales, Cucurbitaceae.
UCUUUUAAUCCUUGAGUGCUUAAUGUUAUACUGGAGACUCUCAAAACCAAUUUUUAGAAGAAGUUAUUCUACCUUAAAAAUGUAUAAAGUUAUACUGGGGACUUUCUAAACCAAUUUUUAUAAACUUAGAGACUAAAAAGGUGCAUGACCAAAUGGGUCUAUUUUUCUAAACCUGGAGACUAAAAAUGUACAUUUUUAAAACUCAAGAACCAAACACACGUGUUCUUCAAAACCAAAACUUGGGGAGUAAUUUUCCUAAAAAAUUUAAGAUAGUGCCAAAUGUCAUUUAGCAUGUGAAAUAAUUACGAUUUUCAUUUUUCAUUUGAGGAAUAUGCCUUCAAAUUUUUUUUACAUUUUAUUUUUGAACACUAACAAACAUGCAUCAACUUUUGACUUCCAUAAUCCCAAAUAUUUUUUAUGUAUAUUUUGAGAUCAUAUUUGAAAUUCUCCUACUAGAGAGCUGAAAUUGUUGAAUGGAUAAAUCAAGGGGGAGGCGAGGUUGUUGAAGAUCACAUGAAGCAGAAAGUGCACUUCACUGUUGAAUGUCAUGGUGGGAUACCAAGGAGUACAGACGUUCAUAGUACUUAUGUGUCAAGUCAUCGGGUUCGAUCAUGUUUAGAGCUGAAUGGAUAUAUGAGUGUGUCAGCCAGAGAAAGAUUGUCUCUCUUGAUUUGUAUCGCCCAAAAGAAGUUAAAGCUCAAGACAGAGCGACAGGCUUAUGCACUGUCAGCCAAUUUCCUACUCAAGCUGCCCCAAUGAUAGCCAAUGAAAGCAUAUCCCAGUUUCCUAUCCAUUCUGCCAUUCCGAGAGACCAAUCAGCUGGAACUAACAGUAGCUUUAUAGGAGCAGCUGAACGAAUAAGUUCUACGAAGAAAAGCGCAAGUUCUUUGACGAAGCCAUAGAAAAGCAUUCACUUUUGUUGGAAACAGAUCCACUCAAUCUGACUGCAUUUUGAAUUCCACAAAACAAACUACAUCAAAUUCUUCUGUAGUAACUUCACACGUUCCUGAUGUCGCUUCCGCAAUUGAGGACUUGUUGGAGCAGACAACUAAGAUUCAAGAUCAGAAGUCACCUGGAAAGACUGGCUGCGAUAAAAAUUUUCCUACCAGACUGUUCGCUUGUUGGUCAAGACCAUUCAGAAACUUCUCCAAUUGGUGCUUUAUCUAACCAGUGGUCAAAAAGAGCUGAAAGAAAAGAAGAUGUCGGCAAUUCUACUACUGAAGAUGGGACUGUGGGCAUAUGUGAUGGCUUUAGUGAAACACAAACAGAGUCUCAGAAUGCCAUAACUCACAGGUUGAUGACGGUGAAUGGGAGCUGUAUCCACAAGUAACUGGCUCUAUGCAUUGGAAAUGCUAAAUACUUUGGCGGUGGUAUGAAAAUUGUGCCAAAUGCCGAUCCUUCCAACAGGAGUCUAGAGGUAGUAAUUCUUCAGGAUUUCAAGUGGUAUGACUUUAUUCUGAAUUUACACAAAAUAUACAAUGGGACAUAUUUGACGGUGAAAAACGUAACAUCAAGAAGGCUACAUUAAGAUAUAUCAAGGUUGGAGACCAAAGUUGAGAGGCUAAAGUCCUUUUACAUGCUACAUUAAGAUAUAUCAAGGUUGGAGACCAAAGUUGAGAGGCUAAAGUCGGUAGUACAAGUUAAAGAUAUGGAGAUUGCAACAGUUACACGAAUAGAAGCCAAAGGUAAGGUUGCUUUUAAAGCUCAAAUUGACAAGCUACAGUAGGAAAAUGUUGAACUCCAGAGAAGGGUUAUUGGCAAUCAGCAAGUAGGAACUCAACAAAUACCUGAGGUGAAGAAGAAAGAAAAGGAGUACAUCAAAUUAAAGAGGGGUGACGACAUGGAACUUGGAAUGGCAAGAAAACUGAUAACGAUUUCUAUAAAAGGAUAGUGGAUGCUUAUGAAGUUAAAAAUCAAGAAUUGACGUCAGAGAAUGCUUAUUUAAAGACAUUGACCAGUAAAUGCAGAUGGCUGAGGGCCUUCGUGAAACGUGGGAGAGAAGCGAUAAGAAUAUGUAUGUCUUAAUGGUCAUAGAAAUUUAUUAUGCUUGGUUUUUGCUUGAAAAGUUUUCUAUUAUUUACUUUAUUGAACACACACGAGCACCCGUACAUCUGGAUUUGUAAGAAUAUGUAUCGUUAUAAGGUUUCCAUCCAUCUUUCUUAUGC